UGAUAGCUGUGAAGCGUGAGGUUGCCGGCUUUGCCGGGUAAUUCCGUGGAGCGAAUGUCAUGAGUUCAUUCUGGCGACAA
RNAcentral lists this non-coding RNA (80 nucleotides) under bovine gut metagenome. Its description in RNAcentral is "S10-Clostridia ribosomal protein leader". It matches the Rfam family "S10-Clostridia ribosomal protein leader". RNAcentral also lists the same sequence under 1 other name. The record is from RNAcentral.